Molecule: long non-coding RNA, 225 nt
Filed under: Gossypium barbadense (sea-island cotton)
Lineage: Eukaryota; Viridiplantae; Streptophyta; Magnoliopsida; Malvales; Malvaceae
Description: long non-coding RNA (GBAR_LNC011584)
Source: RNAcentral
GGCAAUGAUACAAGAUCUCAGCAAUCUCACUUUCAGCUACACACUUUCGAAUUAUAUUAUCUGCUCAUUGUUUAAACAAAAACAGAUCCUCCCAAAAAUAAUACCGACUAUCAUGAAGGAAUUUUUUCCUUUGUUGGCAUGUCAUUUCUUGAGGAAUUAUUCCACAUGCAAGAUAAUUGGCAAAAUCAGCAAACCAAGGUGUUUCAUGAAUUCGAUUUACCUCAA